UAAAAGACGAGAAGACCCUAUAAAUUUUUAUAAUUUCAUUAUUUAAGAAAUUUUUAUUUAAAUAAUUAAAUAAAUAAAAUUAUUUUAUUGGGGCGAUAAAAAAAUUAAUUAAACUUUUUUAAAUAAAUUUAUUUUAAUUAAAAUUUUAUUUUAAAAGAGUUAUUAUUAAUAAUUAAAAGAAUAAAAUACUUUAGGGAUAACAGCGUAAUUUUAAUUUUAAGUACAUAUUAAAAUUAGAGUUUGCGACCUCGAUGUUGGAUUAAAAUUUAAUUUAAAUGCAAAAGUUUAAAUUUUAAGUCUGUUCGACUUUUGAAAUUUUACAUGAUCUGAGUUCAAACCGGUGUGAGCCAGGUUGGUUUCUAUCUUUAUUAAAAAUUAAAUAUUUUAGUACGAAAGGAAUUAAUAUUUAAAAUAAAUUUUUAUAAAUAAGAUUACAUCUAAUAAUUUAAAU
RNAcentral lists this ribosomal RNA (451 nucleotides) under Brachycentrus subnubilus. RNAcentral describes it as "16S ribosomal RNA". The stretch from base 196 to 354 matches the Rfam family "Bacterial large subunit ribosomal RNA", at positions 2473 to 2632 of the family's 2925-position model. Lineage: Eukaryota; Metazoa; Arthropoda; Insecta; Trichoptera; Brachycentridae. The record is from RNAcentral.